RNAcentral lists this ribosomal RNA (504 nucleotides) under uncultured bacterium. Its description in RNAcentral is "bacterial SSU rRNA". It matches the Rfam family "Bacterial small subunit ribosomal RNA", at positions 15 to 509 of the family's 1533-position model. The record is from RNAcentral.
GAUCCUGGCUCAGGAUGAACGCUAGCUACAGGCUUAACACAUGCAAGUCGAGGGGCAGCAUGAAAGUAGCUUGCUACUUUUGAUGGCGACCGGCGCACGGGUGCGUAACGCGUAUCCAAUCUACCCAUGGCUCAGGGAUAGCCUUUCGAAAGAAAGAUUAAUACCUGAUGGUUUCGCUUUUCCGCAUGGUUUAGCGAAUAAAGAUUUAUCGGCGAUGGAUGAGGAUGCGACUGAUUAGGUUGUUGGCGGGGUAACGGCCCACCAAGCCGACGAUCAGUAGGGGUUCUGAGAGGAAGGUCCCCACAUUGGAACUGAGACACGGUCCAAACUCCUACGGGAGGCAGCAGUGAGGAAUAUUGGUCAAUGGACGAGAGUCUGAACCAGCCAAGUAGCGUGAAGGAUGACGGCCCUAUGGGUUGUAAACUUCUUUUGUUUGGGAAUAAAGUGCUCUACGUGUAGAGUUUUGUAUGUACCUUACGAAUAAGCAUCGGCUAAUUCCGUGCC